Molecule: ribosomal RNA, 256 nt
Filed under: uncultured bacterium
Lineage: Bacteria
Description: partial 16S ribosomal RNA
Rfam family: Bacterial small subunit ribosomal RNA
Source: RNAcentral
GACGUAGGUGGCGAACGUUAUCCGGAAUCAUUGGGCGUAAAGGGUGCGUAGAUGGCCUGAUAAGUUAGCAGUGGGAAAUCGAGGCUCAACCUCGUGGAAGCUGGUAAUACUGUUAGGCUCGAGUGCAGGAGAAGUUAACGGAACUCCAUGUGGAGCGGUAAAAUGUGUAGAUAUAUGGAAGAACAUCAAUAACGGCGAAGGCAGUUAACUAUUCUGUUACUGACAUUGAGGCACGAAAGCGUGGGGAGCAAAACGG